AGAGAUUGAUCCUGGCUCAGGACGAACGCUGGCGGCGUGCCUAAUACAUGCAAGUCGAGCGGACAGAUGGGAGCUUGCUCCCUGAUGUUAGCGGCGGACGGGUGAGUAACGCGUGGGUAACCUGCCUGUAAGACUGGGAUAACUCCGGGAAACCGGGGCUAAUACCGGAUGGUUGUUUGAACCGCAUGGUUCAAACAUAAAAGGUGGCUUCGGCUACCACUUACAGAUGGACCCGCGGCGCAUUAGCUAGUUGGUGAGGUAACGGCUCACCAAGGCGACGAUGCGUAGCCGACCUGAGAGGGUGAUCGGCCACACUGGGACUGAGACACGGCCCAAACUCCUACGGGAGGCAGCAGUAGGGAAUCUUCCGCAAUGGACGAAAGUCUGACGGAGCAACGCCGCGUGAGUGAUGAAGGUUUUCGGAUCGUAAAGCUCUGUUGUUAGGGAAGAACAAGUGCCGUUCGAAUAGGGCGGUACCUUGACGGUACCUAACCAGAAAGCCACGGCUAACUACGUGCCAGCAGCCGCGGUAAUACGUAGGUGGCAAGCGUUGUCCGGAAUUAUUGGGCGUAAAGGGCUCGCAGGCGGUUUCUUAAGUCUGAUGUGAAAGCCCCCGGCUCAACCGGGGAGGGUCAUUGGAAACUGGGGAACUUGAGUGCAGAAGAGGAGAGUGGAAUUCCACGUGUAGCGGUGAAAUGCGUAGAGAUGUGGAGGAACACCAGUGGCGAAGGCGACUCUCUGGUCUGUAACUGACGCUGAGGAGCGAAAGCGUGGGGAGCGAACAGGAUUAGAUACCCUGGUAGUCCACGCCGUAAACGAUGAGUGCUAAGUGUUAGGGGGUUUCCGCCCCUUAGUGCUGCAGCUAACGCAUUAAGCACUCCGCCUGGGGAGUACGGUCGCAAGACUGAAACUCAAAGGAAUUGACGGGGGCCCGCACAAGCGGUGGAGCAUGUGGUUUAAUUCGAAGCAACGCAAAGAACCUUACCAGGUCUUGACAUCCUCUGACAAUCCUAGAGAUAGGACGUCCCCUUCGGGGGCAGAGUGACAGGUGGUGCAUGGUUGUCGUCAGCUCGUGUCGUGAGAUGUUGGGUUAAGUCCCGCAACGAGCGCAACCCUUGAUCUUAGUUGCCAGCAUUCAGUUGGGCACUCUAAGGUGACUGCCGGUGACAAACCGGAGGAAGGUGGGGAUGACGUCAAAUCAUCAUGCCCCUUAUGACCUGGGCUACACACGUGCUACAAUGGACAGAACAAAGGGCAGCGAAACCGCGAGGUUAAGCCAAUCCCACAAAUCUGUUCUCAGUUCGGAUCGCAGUCUGCAACUCGACUGCGUGAAGCUGGAAUCGCUAGUAAUCGCGGAUCAGUAUGCCGCGGUGAAUACGUUCCCGGGCCUUGUACACACCGCCCGUCACACCACGAGAGUUUGUAACACCCGAAGUCGGUGAGGUAACCUUUUAGGAGCCAGCCGCCGAAGGUGGGACAGAUGAUUGGGGUGAAGUCGUAACAAGGUA
This 1508-nucleotide ribosomal RNA is filed under the name metagenome. Its description in RNAcentral is "bacterial SSU rRNA". It matches the Rfam family "Bacterial small subunit ribosomal RNA". The record is from RNAcentral.